UCUCUCUCUCUCUCUCUCUCUCUCUCUCUCUCUCUCUCUAUCUCUCUCUCUCUCUCUCUCUCUCUCUCUCUCUCUCUCUCUCUCUCUCUCUCUCUCUCUCUCUCUCUCUCUCUCUGUCAGUGGGCGACUCAACUCUUACUUGCUCAUGGCGAAAAUAGUGACUCAUCAUCGUGUUUUCUUUCCUCAUGACAGACUAUGUUUUGCUCACAGCUGUUUUAUCAAUGCUCGGGAACGCGUGGAGAAAUGUGUUCAGCUUAAUGGAGAAAAUACUAUAUAGCUUGUCUUCUUGUGUGUGUGUGUGUGUGUGUGUGUGUGUGUGUGUGUGUGUGUGUGUUGUUUGCAUUUUACAAUCUUGAUGUGUUCUCAUGCUUGACCAUGAAUGCAAAUUAUAGAACCAAGGAGAGAGAGAGAGAGAGAGAGAGAGAGAGAGAGAGAGAGAGAGAGAGAAAGGAGUUCACCGAGUGGCAACUGCUUUGGUUUGGUUUCGGUCAAGACUGAUGUGUAUGGGUCCUGUAUGAAGUCGGUGCUCGCAGCCUUCCCAACGCCGCCUCACGUCGCGCCCCACUCUUUAACCAGCUCUGAUAGGGGUCAGUUUGGAUUACUGUUUGCGGCCUUGUGACCUUGUCAUUACAACUAUUACUUGUUCUUCUCAAGAUACCCAAACGAAAGUGAAAAUCCACUGCAGAGAUGCAGAACAAAUUAAAAAAAGGCAGGAAUGAGUGUGAAGCUGAGUGUUCGGUGUGUAAACCAGGAACAUUUGUCUCACUGGCACAUAAAAGCAUUAAUGACUUAUAAUCACAUGAUUAUCAGCCAUAUGCAAAGGUAAAUAAGUUGAGUUUCUUUUAAUUAAUUUACAUGUUUUUCAGUAUCAUAUUAGGACCAUAAUCAGGUGUUAGUGAAAGUGUCCGAAAUUUUGAUAGUUCAUAAUGGCAACCCUAGUUUUGCGUCAGCACAGAGAGAGAGAGAGAGAGAGAGAGAGAGAGAGAGAGAGAGAAUUAAUAUUCAGAAAGAUGAAAAAAAAAAAAUUGGUGUGUCCUUUUGUGGAUAAGAAGGAGGUUGCCGUGUGUACUAGAAGGGUAAUGUGUCUCGCAGCUUCCCCAGCCGUCACGCAUCCCAAGACAUAUCGGCCAACUGUUUGAUACCAUAUGUUCCGUGAGCCAUCGACGUUUCUCUCACUAUUCAGAGCGCUGGUGAGCCUUAAAACACCGCCCUUGUCACGCCCCUGCAUAAGGUGUGUUGGGAGUAGCUUUGCCCAGUAAUUAUAUAUAUAUAUAUAUAUAUAUAUAUAUAUAUAUAUAUAUAUAUAUAUAUAUAUAUAUAUAUAUAUAUAUAUAUAUAUAUAUAUUCCAACUCUGGAGCUGGUUUCCUGAACAGAGAGGUGUAAGAGGAGGAGCAUCAGCCAUGGGGUUGGCAACACUGGUCAGAAAACGUGCACCCCCAAGGCCGCAACUGACGCGAGCCACCCCGCUCUGCUCUCACCUCCUCCCGCACGCUCUCCACCGACCCGCCACCCAGCCUUUGCCUCACAAUGGCCCCUUACAUUCCCAACGCAUGCAGGCAAGCAGGCACUGAUGAGAGGCUUCUGGCACGGCUGUCAUCUCCACUCCAUAAGCUCCCGGCAGGUGAUGCUGGAUAGAUAGCUUUGCGCUUGGUGAUUGUGGAAUAUUUUUCAAAUUUUACAAGUGGCGGAGCUAGGCGUGAGUCAGCAGGUUUGUUACAGCUGAGUUGAAGCCUGAACCAGACUGCCUAAGGGAUGAUUAUGCUGAUUUUGUAAACGGAGGUAGUAAGAGGGCGAGGUGUUUGUCUUGGAUAGAAAAGGUAGGAAAGUGUGUGGCUGAGGUAACGGGGCAUAGUAAGGUUUCCAGCCAUGUCACAUCGAAAAGAGUGAUCGGUGGCCGCCCUGCAUCGGGGUUGAGUAAGCCGGGGCGCGGGUGGCGAGAAGGGAAAUCUGCGCUUGCCAGGAAUUGCUGUGCGCCUAUAUUGGUCUCGUCCACCCUUGCCAAAACAUUCCAUUGGGCGAAAUAAUCCUCAUAUAUGCCGUUCCCCGGAGGUGCGCGGAAAUAGGCGUCGCCCUGACGAGUGCGUCACCGUGUGGCUGGCGACGUCCCCGCACCUCGCUUAGGAGAGGUAGCGUGGAACAGGCGAAGAGCUACUUGGGCUUCUGAGGUAAAUAACAGGAGGAGAACUGUAUAAUCCCUGUUGGCAACCGAGUGUAGUUCUUGCUGACCCAGAGAAUAAAGACUUGAGUCGCACUAGUGCCGCCUCCAUUGUUGCCAGUUGCCACACAGCCUGUCUCACAAUGUCGCUAGCAGCUGCCAGCCAGCCGCCAAUCUCUGCACCUCACGUAUUGCAUUGUUGCCCUAAUUAAAGCCCCACUAACAACCCGGAAAUCAAAGGCCGAGACGAAGACUAACCAAGCGAUCUAAAUAGAUAGAAAGUUGUGUGUGGCAACGCAUGGCCUUGCUGGACCCGAGGAUAACAAGAUCGGUGCCCGUUGGGCGCGGGCGUGCCAUCACCUCCUGCUGCCCGCAGCCCUAUACUAGGCCCUUGAACAGUGCUGUAACUAGGCUUUGCUAUUAUGGGUAAUAGUGAAUAUUGAUCCACAACUAAAGAAUUAACAAUGUGUUGGAUGUUUUGGCGAUGAAAAUAAGGCAGUGUGAUGGAGGAUGUGUCCAAGGCCCCGAGGCCUGGCGCCAAGUGGCGGACACAAGCUUGCAGAAAAUGUAUAUUGUCAUGUAGAUAUGUGCACACGUGUGCCCUUAGUACACGUACUCUCUCUCUCUCUCUCUCUCUCUCUCUCUCUCUCUCUCUCUCUCUCUCUCUCUCUCUCUCUCUCUCUCUCUCUCUCUCUCUCUCUCUCUCUCUCUCUCUCUCUCUCUCUCUCUCUCAGUUCUUAUGUUGUCUUAUCGUUUUAUCGCUUAUCACGACAUGAUGAUAUACACUCGACAUUGGGUUUCGUUGUUUGCAACCGAUUAC
RNAcentral lists this long non-coding RNA (2976 nucleotides) under Portunus trituberculatus (swimming crab). RNAcentral's name for it is "uncharacterized LOC123516479". Lineage: Eukaryota; Metazoa; Arthropoda; Malacostraca; Decapoda; Portunidae. The record is from RNAcentral.